RNAcentral lists this non-coding RNA (31 nucleotides) under Mus musculus (house mouse). Lineage: Eukaryota; Metazoa; Chordata; Mammalia; Rodentia; Muridae. The record is from RNAcentral.
UACAAAAGCUAUCAUGGAUAUUGCUGCCAAG